GGCCGCACUNGCAAAGCUCAAACCUGACCCAGCCAUGCCGCGUGCAGGAAGAAGGCGUUCUGCGUUGUAAACUGCUUUUAUACAGGAAGAAACGACCCUUGCGAGGGGCAUUGACGGUACUGUAUGAAUAAGCACCGGCUAACUCCGUGCCAGCAGCCGCGGUAAUACGGAGGGUGCAAGCGUUGUCCGGAUUUAUUGGGUUUAAAGGGUGCGCAGGUGGUUUAUUAAGUCAGUGGUGAAAGACGGUCGCUCAACGAUUGCAGUGCCAUUGAUACUGGUAGACUUGAGUAAAGUAUAGGUGGGCGGAAUUGAUAGUGUAGCGGUGAAAUGCAUAGAUAUUAUCAAGAACUCCAAUUGCGUAGGCAGCUCACUUGGCUUUUACUGACACUCAUGCNCGAAAGUGUGGGUAUCAAACAGGAUUAGAUACCCUGGUACUCCACACUGUAAACGAU
Molecule: ribosomal RNA, 452 nt
Filed under: uncultured prokaryote
Description: bacterial SSU rRNA
Rfam family: Bacterial small subunit ribosomal RNA
Source: RNAcentral